This 611-nucleotide ribosomal RNA is filed under the name Cryptococcus sp. C_2_BESC_319b. Its description in RNAcentral is "eukaryotic LSU rRNA". It matches the Rfam family "Eukaryotic large subunit ribosomal RNA", at positions 1 to 620 of the family's 3401-position model. Lineage: Eukaryota; Fungi; Basidiomycota; Tremellomycetes; Tremellales; Cryptococcaceae. The record is from RNAcentral.
ACCUCAAAUCAGGUAGGACUACCCGCUGAACUUAAGCAUAUCAAUAAGCGGAGGAAAAGAAACUAACAAGGAUUCCCCUAGUAGCGGCGAGCGAAGCGGGAAGAGCUCAAAUUUGAAAGCUGGCGUCCUUCGGGCGUCCGCAUUGUAAUCUAUAGAGGCGUUUUCUGUGCUGGACCGUGUCCAAGUCCCUUGGAACAGGGUAUCAAAGAGGGUGACAAUCCCGUACUUGACACGACAACCAGUGCUCUGUGAUACGUCUUCUACGAGUCGAGUUGUUUGGGAAUGCAGCUCAAAAUGGGUGGUGAAUUCCAUCUAAAGCUAAAUAUUGGCGAGAGACCGAUAGCGAACAAGUACCGUGAGGGAAAGAUGAAAAGCACUUUGGAAAGAGAGUUAAACAGUAUGUGAAAUUGUUGAAAGGGAAACGAUGGAGGUCAGUCGUGUCUGUGGGAUUCAGCCGUCUCUGGCGGUGUACUUCCCACAGACGGGUCAACAUCAGUUUUGGUCGGCGGAUAAAGGCAGGAGGAAGGUGGCACCCCCGGGUGUGUUAUAGCCUCUUGUUGCAUACGCUGGCCGAGACUGAGGAAUGCAGCUCGCCUUUAUGGCCGGGGUCA